RNAcentral lists this transfer RNA (135 nucleotides) under Caldilineaceae bacterium. RNAcentral describes it as "tRNA-OTHER". It matches the Rfam family "tRNA". Rfam says of the family: Transfer RNA (tRNA) molecules are approximately 80 nucleotides in length. The record is from RNAcentral. Lineage: Bacteria; Bacillati; Chloroflexota; Caldilineae; Caldilineales; Caldilineaceae.
GGGGAUGUAGCUCAACGGUAGAGCACUGUCCAAUACCAUCCCUUGACCAUUUCCCGUUGCUGGGUGCAUGGGCCGUCGGUUGUUGGUUAUCGACUAUUAAUCGAGUGGUUGCGGGUUCAAGUCCCGUCAUCCCCA